CUCUAAUAGCUUAACCAUAAAGUACCGGUCUUGUAAUCCGGAGAAUGAGGGUUGGACCCCUCUUAGUGCCAGAAAAAAGAGAUUUUAACUCCCACCCC
This 98-nucleotide transfer RNA is filed under the name Noturus insignis (margined madtom). RNAcentral's name for it is "partial tRNA-Pro". The stretch from base 1 to 70 matches the Rfam family "tRNA". From Rfam's summary of the family: Transfer RNA (tRNA) molecules are approximately 80 nucleotides in length. Their secondary structure includes four short double-helical elements and three loops (D, anti-codon, and T loops). The record is from RNAcentral. Lineage: Eukaryota; Metazoa; Chordata; Actinopteri; Siluriformes; Ictaluridae.